RNAcentral lists this transfer RNA (73 nucleotides) under Arthonia susa. RNAcentral's name for it is "tRNA-Asp". Lineage: Eukaryota; Fungi; Ascomycota; Arthoniomycetes; Arthoniales; Arthoniaceae. The record is from RNAcentral.
GUAGAGUUAAGGUCCACUCAAAAAAAUUAUGUUUUGUUAGGAAAAAUCCUUAGUAAGGGACAAUCCGCAGGAA